CUGACGUUAGCGGCGGACGGGUGAGUAACACGUGGAUAACCUACCUAUAAGACUGGGAUAACUUCGGGAAACCGGAGCUAAUACCGGAUAACAUAUUGAACCGCAUGGUUCAAUAGUGAAAGACGGUUUUGCUGUCACUUAUAGAUGGAUCCGCGCCGCAUUAGCUAGUUGGUAAGGUAACGGCUUACCAAGGCAACGAUGCGUAGCCGACCUGAGAGGGUGAUCGGCCACACUGGAACUGAGACACGGUCCAGACUCCUACGGGAGGCAGCAGUAGGGAAUCUUCCGCAAUGGGCGAAAGCCUGACGGAGCAACGCCGCGUGAGUGAUGAAGGUCUUCGGAUCGUAAAACUCUGUUAUUAGGGAAGAACAAAUGUGUAAGUAACUAUGCACGUCUUGACGGUACCUAAUCAGAAAGCCACGGCUAACUACGUGCCAGCAGCCGCGGUAAUACGUAGGUGGCAAGCGUUAUCCGGAAUUAUUGGGCGUAAAGCGCGCGUAGGCGGUUUUUUAAGUCUGAUGUGAAAGCCCACGGCUCAACCGUGGAGGGUCAUUGGAAACUGGAAAACUUGAGUGCAGAAGAGGAAAGUGGAAUUCCAUGUGUAGCGGUGAAAUGCGCAGAGAUAUGGAGGAACACCAGUGGCGAAAGCGACUUUCUGGUCUGUAACUGACGCUGAUGUGCGAAAGCGUGGGGAUCAAACAGGAUUAGAUACCCUGGUAGUCCACGCCGUAAACGAUGAGUGCUAAGUGUU
This 751-nucleotide ribosomal RNA is filed under the name Staphylococcus sp. Its description in RNAcentral is "bacterial SSU rRNA". It matches the Rfam family "Bacterial small subunit ribosomal RNA", at positions 86 to 824 of the family's 1533-position model. The record is from RNAcentral. Lineage: Bacteria; Bacillati; Bacillota; Bacilli; Caryophanales; Staphylococcaceae.